RNAcentral lists this ribosomal RNA (539 nucleotides) under uncultured bacterium. RNAcentral's name for it is "bacterial SSU rRNA". It matches the Rfam family "Bacterial small subunit ribosomal RNA", at positions 356 to 896 of the family's 1533-position model. The record is from RNAcentral.
GAGGAAUAUUGGUCAAUGGGCAAGAGCCUGAACCAGCCAAGUAGCGUGCAGGAUGACGGCCCUAUGGGUUGUAAACUGCUUUUGUAUGGGGAUAAAGUCAAUCACGUGUGAUUGUUUGCAGGUACCAUACGAAUAAGGACCGGCUAAUUCCGUGCCAGCAGCCGCGGUAAUACGGAAGGUCCGGGCGUUAUCCGGAUUUAUUGGGCUUAAAGGGAGCGUAGGCUGGAGAUUAAGUGUGUUGUGAAAUGUAGACGCUCAACGUCUGACUUGCAGCGCAUACUGGUUUCCUUGAGUACGCACAACGUUGGCGGAAUUCGUCGUGUAGCGGUGAAAUGCUUAGAUAUGACGAAGAACUCCGAUUGCGAAGGCAGCUGACGGGAGCGCAACUGACGCUGAAGCUCGAAGGUGCGGGUAUCGAACAGGAUUAGAUACCCUGGUAGUCCGCACAGUAAACGAUGGAUGCCCGCUGUUGGUACCUGGUAUCAGCGGCUAAGCGAAAGCAUUAAGCAUCCCACCUGGGGAGUACGCCGGCAACGGUG